UGGGGAAUUUUCCGCAAUGGGCGAAAGCCUGACGGAGCAAUACCGCGUGAGGGAGGAAGGCUUUUGGGUUGUAAACCUCUUUUCUCAAGGAAGAAGAUCUGACGGUACUUGAGGAAUCAGCAUCGGCAAACUCCGUGCCAGCAGCCGGGGUAAUACGGAGGAUGCAAGCGUUAUCCGGAAUGAUUGGGCGUAAAGCGUCUGCAGGUGGCUAUGCAAGUCUGCUGUUAAAGAGUGGAGCUCAACUCCAUAAGGGCAGUGGAAACUGCGUAACUAGAGUACGUGCGGGGUAGAGGGAAUUCCUGGUGUAGCGGUGAAAUGCGUAGAUAUCAGGAAGAACACCGGUGGCGAAGGCGCUCUACUAGGCCGUAACUGACACUGAGGGACGAAAGCGAAGGGAGCAAACGGGAUUAGAUACCCCCGUAGUCC
Molecule: ribosomal RNA, 426 nt
Filed under: uncultured prokaryote
Description: bacterial SSU rRNA
Rfam family: Bacterial small subunit ribosomal RNA
Source: RNAcentral